GUGCCAACAACACCACCGACUGCUUACCACCUUGACUGAGACAUUUACUGGGGGAAACACUGAUUUGUAUGACAUUACAGAUGGUGAAUUCAUGAAAUCACACCCCUUAUUUUCUGCCCGGCCCUCUGCCUUACAGAUAAUCCUUUACACUGAUGACAUUGAACUUUGUAACCCACUUGGGUCUCAUGCUUCAAAGAAUAAGUUGACAAUGUUUUAUUAUACACUUGGAAACAUUAAUUCAAAAUAUAGAUCAAAACUGGCUUCGAUACGUCUACUCGCCAUUGCAAAGAGGAGCCAACUCUCUGAAUGUGGAGUUGAUGGAAUUUUGGGAAGGCUGCAUGAGGACCUAGUAAGGCUAUAUGAAGGUGUUCAAAUUAAAAUCGGGAAUGGUGAACGAGAAAUAUAUGGAGCAUUAUUUUCGAUAUGCGGGGACACUUUAGCUCAGCAUGAGCUUUGUGGUUUUAAAGAGGGUGUUGGUUUUGCUUUCAAGAAAUGUAGGCAGUGUGAAUGUACAUUUGAGGACAUGCAAUUGUAUUUUGAUGAGGAUUACUUUGAAGGAAGAACAAUAGAGAGACAUAUGCGUCAGUGUAGUGAUAUUGAGAUUGCCAAUACAGAGUCUCUUAGAAACAGUUUAAAAACUACAUUUGGGAUCAAUAGAAGGAGUAAAUUGGUAGAAUUCCCGGCUUUUAACUUGAUCCAACAAACACCCCAAGACAUCAUGCACGUAAUACUGGAAGGCAUUGCCCCAUUAGAAAUAAAGUGUGUGAUGAAACACUUAGUACUUUUAGGACAACUUGACUUGGAUGUUUUCAAUAGUGCAUUACUUGCAUUUCCCUACUCUCCACAUGAUGUCAGAGACAAACCAAGCCUUAUAAAAUACAGUACAUUAGCAUCCAGUGACAAUAAAUUAAAGCAGUCCUCAGGCCAAAUGCUUGUUCUACUUAAAAUUCUGCCAUUUCUGAUAGAUGCAGUUAAAGGCAAUGAGUACCACACACUCAUUCUUGAGCUGAUAGAGAUAGUUCAAAUUUUGUUUGCUCCUGUUAUUUGUCUACAGACUAUCAACAAAUUGAUAUCACUUAUUGAACAGCACCUAAAACAUAUGAAGAACCUUUUCCCAGAUAACAACAUCACUCCAAAGCAACAUUAUUUGAUCAAUGUGCCAUCUCAGAUUAAGCUACUGGGACCAAUGGUUCGUCAUAUGUGCAUGAGAUUUGAAUCAAAGCAUUGCUUUUUCAAACAGUGG
RNAcentral lists this long non-coding RNA (1243 nucleotides) under Gadus morhua (Atlantic cod). Its description in RNAcentral is "lncRNA (ENSGMOG00000028816.1)". Lineage: Eukaryota; Metazoa; Chordata; Actinopteri; Gadiformes; Gadidae. The record is from RNAcentral.